UGUGGCUUAAUGGAAGCAUGGAAGACAAUGCUAAGGGUAAUUUGAACUAUGGGGGCCCAGAUCAAGAAAUU
Peromyscus maniculatus bairdii (prairie deer mouse) is the source of this 71-nucleotide non-coding RNA. The record is from RefSeq and is a predicted model, not a curated record. NCBI's taxonomy places the organism in Eukaryota, Metazoa, Chordata, Mammalia, Rodentia, Cricetidae.